UUCCGGUUGAUCCUGCCGGACCCGACUGCUAUCAGAGUGAGAUUAAGCCAUGCGAGUUAACGUAGCAAUACGUGGCGCACGGCUCAGUAACACGUAGUCAACAUGCCCAGAGGACGUGGAUAACCUCGGGAAACAGAGUCUAAACCGCGAUAAGUGAGGAUUUCUGGAAUGGUUCCUGACUAAAAUCUAUAUGGCCUCUGGAUUGGACUGCGGCCGAUCAGGCUGUUGGUGAGGUAAUGGCCCACCGAACCUGCAACCGGUACGGGCUCUGAGAGGAGGAGCCCGGAGAUGGGCACUGAGACAAGGGCCCAGGCCCUAUGGGGCGCAGCAGGCGCGAAACCUCUGCAAUAGGCGAAAGCCUGACAGGGUUACUCUGAGUGACUUUCGCUAAGAAAGUCUUUUGGCACCUCUAAAAGGGUGCAGAAUAAGGGGUGGGCAAGUCUGGUGUCAGCCGCCGCGGUAAUACCAGCACCCCGAGUGGUCGGGACGAUUAUUGGGCCUAAAGCAUCCGUAGCCGGUUCUGCAAGUCCCCCGUUAAAUCCAGCUGCUCAACAGAUGGGCCGCGGAGGAUACUACAGAGCUAGGAGGCAGGAGAGGCAAGCGGUACUCAGUGGGUAGGGGUAAAAUCCGUUGAUCCAUUGAAGACCACCAGUGGCGAAGGCGGCUUGCCAGAAUGCGCUCGACGGUGAGGGAUGAAAGCUGGGGGAGCAAACCGGAUUAGAUACCCGGGUAGUCCCAG
This 739-nucleotide ribosomal RNA is filed under the name uncultured archaeon. Its description in RNAcentral is "bacterial SSU rRNA". It matches the Rfam family "Archaeal small subunit ribosomal RNA", at positions 1 to 750 of the family's 1478-position model. The record is from RNAcentral.